AAAUUAAAGAAAGAAAACAAUCGCCAACUCCAAAGGCGAAUCGACCCCCCACUCCCAAUCGCCGCAACCGCACCACCAGCGCUGCCCUGAUCGGCACCGAUGGCGGGCGAUCCGACCGGCGGCGGCGGCGGCUCCGCGGCGGGCAAGGGUCCCCGCUCGUCGACGCGGCACCAGCAGUUCCGCGACCGCGCCAAGACCCGCGUGGACGACCUCCAGGAGAUCUUCUCCGGCCUCCAGUCCGCCCGCAAGGAGAGCCGCUCCGCCGACGCCGCCGUCCUCGAGGAGCAGGUCCACCAGAUGCUCCGCGAGUGGCGCGCCGAGCUCAGCGUCGCCUCCCCCGCCUCCUCCCUGCAGAACUCGCUGGGGAACAACCAGGGUGCCGCGGAUCCGCCGUCGGAGACGCUGCGGCUGCUGCAGCUGGCGAUUGAGGAGGAGGACGACGCCACCAGCAAGCUGGCGCAGCCGAUGCAGCCCUCCCGGCAGGAUGGUCAUCAGAAUCUCAACCCCGGACUGCAAGUACAUGGGGGGACUGUGGAUGGCGGCGCCGACGCGUCACAGCAGUCAAUGGGUCAUGGAAUGCAGGGAGAAUUAGCCGAUGUUGCUAAUGCAUUGUUCAGUGAUCAGAUGUACUAUAUAGACCAUGAACUGAGUAUUGAUGAUUUUCUUCAUGGGUCAAACCCAGAUGGCCUCAAUAACCUGCAAGGGACUGGUCAGCCGGAACAUCAACAGUUCAAUCUGCCACUAGAUCUGCAACAUUCUAAUAAUUCAUAUGCUGAUGCAAAUAACUCUGUGCAAAGUACUGGAGAUGUUUUUUUCCACAUGUCAGACUUGCUCACAACAGUCGGCCCGUCGCCUUCUCAAUAUUUGGGGCCAAAAUGUGCACUCUGGGAUUGUGGUCGACCUGUGCGAGGAUCAGAAGAGUGUCAAGACUACUGCAACCCGUAUCAUGCUGGUUUAGCUUUGAGUGAUGAUGGUCUUCUGGGGACAAGGCCUGUGAUGCGUCCAAGGGGUAUUGAUUUGAAAGAUGGGCCCCUAUUUGAUGCUCUUUGUGCAAAAGUCCAAGGAAAAAAUGUUGGUAUUCCUGUCUGUGAAGGGGCUGCAACGUCAAAAUCACCUUGGAAUGCACAUGAACUUUUUGAUCUUUCUCUUCUUGAGGGUGAAUCUCUUAGGGAAUGGUUAUUCUUUGACAGACCAAGAAGGGCAUUUGAGAGCGGCAACCGCAAGCAAAGGUCGUUGCCAGAUUACAACGGCCGUGGAUGGCAUGAAUCAAGGAAGCAAGUGAUGAAGGACUUUGGGGGCCUGAAGAAAUCCUAUUACAUGGACCCACAACCAUCCAGCAACUAUGAGUGGCACCUUUUCGAAUAUGAGAUCAAUGAUUCUAACACUCUAGCCUUGUACCGGCUUGAGUUCAAGGCAUCUGAUCCUAAAAGGAGUGUUAAAUCAAAACUGGGCAGCAGUUCACUCAACGAAAUCCAGCAGCAAAUGGUCAAGCUUAGUGCAAACAGUCCGGUGGACAACAAGCGGGGUGCUAGGAGCAAGACAAAGGCUAGUCAAAAGGACACCAAUGCGAAUGCAUAUCCAGCUCUCAAGGCCACCAAUCAAGCGGGUGCUUCAAAUGCUUAUGAAGCAGUGCCCCUCAACAUCCCCAAUCAGGCCAGUGCCCCCAGCGCUUACCAAACAGUGGCUCCCAACAUCCCCAAUCAGGACAGUACCUCGAAUGCCUAUGAAGAUGCAUCACAGGUGGACCCGAUGUCAUAUCUGAAUGAAAACGUUGUCUAUGGACCUCAUCUUCCAUAUGGUUACCCCGAUGGAAAAGGCGACUUCUACUGGAACCCCAGUGGCGGCGCCUGAAGAUGCAAUAUGCCAAGCUCAUGAGCUGUAAGGCGUCUCAAGACAGAUUGUAACAGUGUCAACUAAAAUUUGGGGCUCAGCACCGUGGCCCUGCAGUUUUUCGUAAGUGUAGACAUCUUGGAUAGAUACCAUGUUUGGUGUGCUGUACUUUGACUGUAAAAUAUAGUCCGGUUCUUGCCUGUCGAGCUAAGAUAGAGGAUCUAGGUAUCUGCUUCUUCAGAAGCUGAUGCGGUUGGACCCUAGCAGCGGAGGAUUCGCAAAUUCAGUUGGGCUCUGUUUUUCUUCUUCUUUCCCUUAGAUGUGUAUAUAUCCUGAGAAUGGUCGAGGAUUCGUAUGAUUCGCGGAAUCCCAGAUUCACUUGCGUUUCACAUGCAAGAUUU
RNAcentral lists this ribosomal RNA (2231 nucleotides) under Triticum aestivum (bread wheat). Its description in RNAcentral is "partial small subunit ribosomal RNA". Lineage: Eukaryota; Viridiplantae; Streptophyta; Magnoliopsida; Poales; Poaceae. The record is from RNAcentral.